GGUCCCCAAGAUCACAGUGGUCUCCAUCAUUCUGCAGCAUUGAAGGUCCCCAAGAACACAGUGGACUCCAUCAUUCUGCAGUAUUGAAGGUCCCCAAGAACACAGUGGCCUCCAUCAUUCUGCAGCAUUAAAGGUCCCCAAGAACACAGUGGUCUCCAUCAUUCUGCAGCAUUGAAGGUCCCCAAGAACACAGUGGUCUCCAUCAUUCUGCAGCAUUGAAGGUCCCCAAGAACACAGUGGCCUCCAUCAUUCUGCAGCAUUGAAGGUCCCCAAGAACACAGUGGUCUCCAUCAUUCUGCAGCAUUGAAGGUCCCCAAGAACACAGUGGCCUCCAUCAUUCUGCAGCAUUGAAGGUCCCCAAGAACACAGUGGCCUCCAUCAUUCUGCAGCAUUGAAGGUCCCCAAGAUCACAGUGGCCUCCAUCAUUCUCAAAUGGAAGAAGGUUGGAACCACCAAGACUCUUCCUAGAGCAUUUUCCAAAUCAUGUCCAAUCAAUUGAACUUACCACCAGGUGGACUCCAAUCAAGUUGUAGAAACACCUCAAGGAUGAUCAAUGGAAACAGGACGCACCUGAACUCAAUAAGCACCCUAUUCCUUAUAUAGUGCACUACUUUUAUAGCACCCUAUUCCCUAUAUAGUGCACUACUUUUAUAGCACCCUAUUCCCUAUAUAGUGCACUACUUUUAUAGCACCCUAUUCCUAUAUAGUGCACUACUUUUAUGGCACCCUAUUCCCUAUAUAGUGCACUACUUUUAUGGCACCCUAUUCCCUAUAUAGUGCACUACUUUUAUAGCACCCUAUUCCCUAUAUAGUGCACUACUUUUAUAGCACCCUAUUCCCUAUAUAGUGCACUACUUUUAUAGUACCCUAUUCCCUAUAUAGUGCACUACUUUUAUAGCACCCUAUUCCCUAUAUAGUGCACUACUUUUAUAGCACCCUAUUCCCUAUAUAGUGCACUACUUUUAUAGCACCCUAUUCCCUAUAUAGUGCACUACUUUUAUAGCACCCUAUUCCCUAUAUAGUGCACUACUUUUAUAGCACCCUAUUCCCUAUAUAGUGCACUACUUUUAUAGCACCCUAUUCCCUAUAUAGUGCACUACUUUUAUAGCACCCUAUUCCCUAUAUAGUGCACUACUUUUAUAGCACCCUAUUCCCUAUAUAGUGCACUACUUUUAUAUCACCCUAUGCCCUAUAUAGUGCACUACUUUUGGUCAAAAUAUAUAGUACUUAUACUUUUGGUCACUAUAUAGGGAGCAGGGUGCCAUUUAAGGGAUGCAACGUUGGACUGCAAGCUGACUGGCCCAGCUCUUUCUGGUAACAGCCAAUCAGCCAUGCCGUUGUUGUGAUGUGAGUGAACAGUAUUGGUGACCAUUCUGG
Long non-coding RNA from Oncorhynchus keta (chum salmon), 1377 nucleotides. RefSeq lists it as uncharacterized. The transcript has 4 exons. Lineage: Eukaryota; Metazoa; Chordata; Actinopteri; Salmoniformes; Salmonidae. The record is from RefSeq and is a predicted model, not a curated record.